This 415-nucleotide long non-coding RNA is filed under the name Ananas comosus (pineapple). RNAcentral's name for it is "long non-coding RNA (ACOM_LNC038936)". The record is from RNAcentral. Lineage: Eukaryota; Viridiplantae; Streptophyta; Magnoliopsida; Poales; Bromeliaceae.
AUAAUUGCCUAUAUACCCCUCACACGUUCGGAUAUAUCCGAUCUACCCCUGCUUUUUUUCUCUUUCUAAAAUACCCUUCAUACGUUCCACCGUUAUUCUAAAAUAUCCCUGCAGUUAUCCUCUAUUAGCUUAACUCGGGUUAAACAUUGUAUACUAGAGUUAAAAUCUAAAUAAAAUACCUAUUUUGCCCCUACCAUAUUAUACUAAUUCCUUAAGUUAUCCUUCUCAUCCUCCUCGUCAUUCUCAUUCUCCCUCUUCCCCGUAUCGUCGUCUCCAACCCCUACCCCAACCCCAUCGUCGCGGAGAGGACGGCGACCUUUUCGACCCCGUCGACCCCUCGCUCUUCCUUCCCCCGCCCCGCCCUCGACUCCUUCCUGUCCCUUCACGAUGUCGUCCUCUCCCGGCGCUUCCGCUG